UAACCACUCAAGCCUCGGCUUGGUCUUGGGGUCCCGCGGUCUCGCGGCCCUUAAAAUCAGUGGCGGUGCCGUCUGGCUCUAAGCGUAGUAAUUCUCUCGCUAUAGGGUCCAGGUGGUGGCUUGCCAAAACCCCUAAUUUUUUAAC
RNAcentral lists this unclassified non-coding RNA (145 nucleotides) under uncultured Meliniomyces. RNAcentral's name for it is "sequence contains ITS2". The record is from RNAcentral. Lineage: Eukaryota; Fungi; Ascomycota; Leotiomycetes; Helotiales; Helotiaceae.